UAGUACUUCUGAGGUUGGGUUAAAUUCCCAGCCGGUGGUGGUUCCUCCUACGCCCUUCGACUCACAGGGUUCGCUCAGGGCUUCGGAGGACAAGCCCAUGACUCCUUCGACUCCGCAGACGUCGCUCAGGAUGCAGAAUCCUUCGACUCCGCAGACGUCGCUCAGGAUUGAUCCGGUGAGAAUCCGGAGCCGACGGUACAGUCCGGAUGAAAGAAGGGGAU
RNAcentral lists this non-coding RNA (221 nucleotides) under Candidatus Wirthbacteria. RNAcentral's name for it is "FMN sequence". It matches the Rfam family "FMN riboswitch aptamer (RFN element)". Rfam says of the family: The RFN element is a highly conserved domain that is found frequently in the 5'-untranslated regions of prokaryotic mRNAs that encode for flavin mononucleotide (FMN) biosynthesis and transport proteins. The record is from RNAcentral.